AGUGAACGCUGGCGGUAGGCCUAACACAUGCAAGUCGAACGGCAGCACAGUAAUAGCUUGCUCUUACGGGUGGCGAGUGGCGGACGGGUGAUGAAUACAUCGGAAUCUACUUUUUCGUGGGUGAUAACGUAGGGACACUUACGCUAUUACCGCAUACGACCUACGGGUGAAAGCAUGGGAUCUUCGGACCUUGCGCGAUUGAAUGAGCCGAUGUCGGAUUAGCUAGUUGGCGGGGUAAAGGCCCACCAAGGCGACGAUCCGUAGCUGGUCUGAGAGGAUGAUCAGACACACUGGAACUGAGACACGGUCCAGACUCCUACGGGAGGCAGCAGUGGGGAAUAUUGGACAAUGGGCGCAAGCCUGAUCCAGCCAUACCGCGUGGGUGAAGAAGGCCUUCGGGUUGUAAAGCACUUUUGUUGGGAAAGAAAAGCAGCAGGUUAAUACCCCGCUGUUCUGACGGUACCAAAAGAAUAAGCACCGGCUAACUUCGUG
RNAcentral lists this ribosomal RNA (492 nucleotides) under uncultured bacterium. Its description in RNAcentral is "partial 16S ribosomal RNA". It matches the Rfam family "Bacterial small subunit ribosomal RNA", at positions 29 to 507 of the family's 1533-position model. The record is from RNAcentral.